GCUUUUAUUAAUUCAUGUAAAUACAAUAAAAUGUGUGAUAAGAAUAAUUGAAAUCUUCUAAUAAUAAACAAAUGGUCUGUAACAUAGCAACGAAAUGGUGUGAAAACGUAUAAGGUGUAAGUGUAUAUGUGGUGUAAGUGUAGACUUAAAAAUGCUACAGUAAAGUCACAGUAACGCCACAGUACUCCCCCCCAAGCGACGACUACGUUGCGAAAUGGACUUUCUUCUUAGCUGGGAACUGCAGGCACAACUGAUGGUACAACUGAUGUGGUUGUAGAUGUAGAUAAAGUUCUCGAAGAGGAUGAAAGAAGAACAGAAGAAUCUUCCUUGGGAAAAAAGGCUGGUUUCAGACGUUCCGUUGAGACGUUGACUAAUUUUCCUGAAAUGUCAAUAGUAAACAAAAAAUCAGAAAUUCGUUUGUUAACAAGAAAAGGACCAGAAUAUGGUGAUUGAAGAGAUUUCUUCACAGCAUCUUCACGAAGCCAUACGAUCUGCUGGAAAAUCUUCCUCAAUAAAGAAUUCACCAGGAAUCCGAAGAGUAGUUCCAUAGAGUAAUUCAGCAGGUGAAGUUUUCAAGUCUUCUUUGAAGCACGAACGAAGACCAAGAAGAACAGUAGCUGGAUGAUAAGCAGAAGUUCUCUUGCGAUCACAUCUAAUCAAAUUAGUUAAUGCUUUAAAGAGAGAUGCUUCAAAUUGUGGGCCUUGAUCUGUAGUAAUAGUUAUAGGAGAUCCAUAUCUAGCUACCCAAUGAGAAUAGAAAGCUGUCGAAACUGUUUCAGCAGUUAUUUCUUUAAGUGGAAUAGCUUCAGGCCACCUCGAGAAACGAUCUAUUAUUGUUAAGCAAUAAUGGAAAUCUUGACAAGAAGGAAGAGGGCCUAUUAAAUCUAAAUGUGCAUGUUGAAAACGCUGAUCAGGAACCGCGAUUUUAACAGGGACAUUUUUUGUAUGUCUUGAAAUUUUGGAACGUUGACAAGGUAGACAAGUGCGAGUCCACUCUUUAACGUCUUUAUUCAAUGACGGCCAAAUAAAUUUCUGUAGAAGUUGUUUAGCUGUAGAUCUUCCACUGGGAUGUGCGAGGCCAUGUACUACAUCAAAAACUCGCUUACGAAGAGAUUUAGGAACGUAUGGACGAAUUAACUCAGAGGAACAGUCACAAUAUAUAGGUACAGAUGAGCCAAGAGACAAUGAUUGGCAUUGAAACUGACUCAAUUCUUGAUAAAGCAUCAGCUACAGAAUUUAACUUGCCUGAAAUGUGGACAAUAUUAGUAGAGAAUUGAGCAAUAAGAUCCAGUUGCCUAAUUUGUCUAGGUGAAGCUUUGUCAGGUUUCUGAAGAAAAGCAUAAAUUAAAGUGAUGCUCCUACAGCGAAAUCAGAAGCAUCACAAGUAAGAAUCAAAGGAACUUGAGGAGCAGGAUGAGAGAGGGUAGUCACACGGAGAAGUUCUUCUUUGCAAUUCUGAAAAGCUGCUUCUGUCUCCAUAGACCAAGGAAUAGUUUUCCUAUCUCUCUUGCGACUGUCCUUCAAAAAGUUUGUUUGAUUCCUUGACUAGAGACAAGAUAUCCGAGGAAAGUAAUUUCUUUUUGAUCAAAAAGACAUUUGGAUACAUUAAGUGACAUUCCAGCUUUCUGUAGACGAUCAAAAACAAUCCGCAAAUGAGUGAUGUGUUCUGACUCAUCUCUAGAAGCUAUGAGAAUAUUGUCAAGAUAGCAAAAUGCAAAAUCUAAAUUAUUUAACAAUAUAUUCAUAAACCUCUGAAAUGUUUGAGCUGCGUUACGAAGACCAAAAGGCAUAACCAAAAAUUCGAAAAGUCCAAAAGAAAAGAUAUUCUUACCGUAGAGCUCCGCAGUGAAAUCCUGUAUGUGAGGCAAUGGAUAUCGAUCAGGAACAGUGACGGAAUUUAACGCACAAUAAUCUCCACAAAGUCUCCAUACAUUUUCCUUUUUUGGAACCAUAUGCAAAGGUGCUGCCCACGUACUGCAUGAUGGUCUACAAAUACCUUGGUCCAUCAUGAAUUUAAAUUCUUCUUUGGCAUACUUCAGUUUUUCCGGAGAAAGUCUUCUGGGAAUUGCAAAUUUCGGAGGACCUUCCGUAACAAACCGAUGUUCAAUUUCAUGUGAGUUUACCGAUGAAAGAAGGGCAAAAUGAGUAAGUCUUUGAAAUUCUGCUAAAAUCUUGUGAAAAGAAGAAUCUGGAGAUGUGGUACAAACUGAUAACUGCAAAACUUCUUGUAUCCUUCCACAAUUUUUAAGACCUGUUAAGGAAUCAAUUAGACGUUUGUUUUUUACAUCUACAAGGAGAUUAAAAUGUCCGAGGAAAUCUGCGCCUAAAAUGGGACGUUGUAUGUCCGCCACGCAAAAUUUCCAACGGAAAAUUCUCCUGAGACCAAGAUCCACGGAAAGAGUUUUAGAUCCAUAAGUAUCAAUGUGUGUUCCGUUGGCAGCAAAAAGUUUUAAAUUGGUUGAUAACGGUUUGUAUAAUAUUUUCUUGGGAAGCAAAGAAAUGUCAGCAUCAGUGUCAACAAGAAAUUGUAAAUUAGACGACUUGUCAAAAAUAACGAGGCGAUGACAAGGUAAACCGUUGUGAGUUGCCUCUAUCUUUAACGGUAUCUCUAGUUUUCCGUUAAAUCAGUAAGACAGAGAGUUUUUGACAUUGUACAAGGAAUUGUACAUUUCUUUGCUUUAUCUCCAAAUUUCUUGUGAUAAAAACAAAUUUGUUCCUUA
Nylanderia fulva is the source of this 2720-nucleotide non-coding RNA. The record is from RefSeq and is a predicted model, not a curated record. NCBI's taxonomy places the organism in Eukaryota, Metazoa, Arthropoda, Insecta, Hymenoptera, Formicidae.